ACACCGGCAGCUCUAGUGGUAGCAAUUUUUAUUGGGCCUAAAGCGUCCGUAGCCGGUUUAAUAAGUCUCUGGUGAAAUCCUGCAGCUUAACUGUGGGAAUUGCUGGAGAUACUAUUAGACUUGAGAUCGGGAGAGGUUAGAGGUACUCCCAGGGUAGAGGUGAAAUUCUGUAAUCCUGGGAGGACCGCCUGUUGCGAAGGCGUCUAACUGGAACGAUUCUGACGGUGAGGGACGAAAGUUAGGGGCGCGAACCGGAUUAGAUACCCGGGUAGUCCUAACUGUAAACGAUGCGGACUUGGUGUUGGGGUGGUUUUGAGCUGCUCCAGUGCCGAAGGGAAGCUGUUAAGUCCGCCGCCUGGGAAGUACGGUCGCAAGACUGAAACUCAAAGGAAUUGACGGGG
RNAcentral lists this ribosomal RNA (401 nucleotides) under uncultured bacterium. RNAcentral describes it as "partial 16S ribosomal RNA". It matches the Rfam family "Archaeal small subunit ribosomal RNA", at positions 473 to 873 of the family's 1478-position model. The record is from RNAcentral.